AGUUGGGUUUUACGAUAUUGUUUGGCUCGGGUUCUCAUCUGAUGUUGAUUUGUAGGUUGAGGUGGUGGCGGGUUUGUAUUUUGAGAGGAUGAAGAUGAAGAUGAAGUUUGAGUUUGGGACAGAACAAGUGAUAUUUGUGGCUGAGGAGUUGUGGAGGCUACGGGUUGGUUCGAGGAUGUAGGAGCGGGGAGAGAGGAUGGUGUACCUGUCUAAUUCCUUACAGAAGUCAUCUGGUCUCCACUAACAUUUCUAAGGAUAGACGACCUCUGUUCUGCAGUAGAUGGAGUUUCAGAGAUUACCGGAGAUGGAGUUGGCACGAUCGUCUGAUGAGGGACCGAGCUCGGGGGCGCUGUUGAACUAGUAGAUACGAGUGGCCGGCUAGGGACUGGUAAGGCUAUAGGAUAAGAAUGUAUGGGUUCUGGUGUUUGCGGUUUGACGGUUGAGGAAGAUUUGGGUUGAGGAUUACGAUAUGGGGAAGAGUCUUCGACAAACUGAACAUGUC
This 502-nucleotide long non-coding RNA is filed under the name Brassica napus (rape). RNAcentral describes it as "long non-coding RNA (BNAP_LNC012081)". Lineage: Eukaryota; Viridiplantae; Streptophyta; Magnoliopsida; Brassicales; Brassicaceae. The record is from RNAcentral.